GACGAACGCUGGCGGCGUGCUUAACACAUGCAAGUCGAACGGAAAGGCCCUGCUUUUGUGGGGUGCUCGAGUGGCGAACGGGUGAGUAACACGUGAGUAACCUGCCCUUGACUUUGGGAUAACUUCAGGAAACUGGGGCUAAUACCGGAUAGGAGCUCCUGCUGCAUGGUGGGGGUUGGAAAGUUUCGGCGGUUGGGGAUGGACUCGCGGCUUAUCAGCUUGUUGGUGGGGUAGUGGCUUAACAAGGCUUUGACGGGUAGCCGGCCUGAGAGGGUGACCGGCCACAUUGGGACUGAGAUACGGCCCAGACUCCUACGGGAGGCAGCAGUGGGGACUAUUGCACAAUGGGCGGAAGCCUGAUGCAGCAACGCCGCGUGCGGGAUGACGGCCUUCGGGUUGUAAACCGCUUUCGCCUGUGACGAAGCGUGAGUGACGGUAAUGGGUAAAGAAGCACCGGCUAACUACGUG
RNAcentral lists this ribosomal RNA (468 nucleotides) under uncultured bacterium. RNAcentral describes it as "partial 16S ribosomal RNA". It matches the Rfam family "Bacterial small subunit ribosomal RNA", at positions 28 to 507 of the family's 1533-position model. The record is from RNAcentral.